UUUUAUGAGAGUUUGAUCCUGGCUCAGGACGAACGCUGGCGGCGUGCCUAAUACAUGCAAGUCGAACGCUUCUUUUUCCACCGGAGCUUGCUCCACCGGAAAAAGAGGAGUGGCGAACGGGUGAGUAACACGUGGGUAACCUGCCCAUCAGAAGGGGAUAACACUUGGAAACAGGUGCUAAUACCGUAUAACAAUCGAAACCGCAUGGUUUUGAUUUGAAAGGCGCUUUCGGGUGUCG
RNAcentral lists this ribosomal RNA (238 nucleotides) under Campylobacter coli. RNAcentral's name for it is "partial 16S ribosomal RNA". It matches the Rfam family "Bacterial small subunit ribosomal RNA", at positions 1 to 217 of the family's 1533-position model. RNAcentral also lists the same sequence under 2 other names. Lineage: Bacteria; Pseudomonadati; Campylobacterota; Epsilonproteobacteria; Campylobacterales; Campylobacteraceae. The record is from RNAcentral.